RNAcentral lists this long non-coding RNA (211 nucleotides) under Elaeis guineensis (African oil palm). RNAcentral describes it as "long non-coding RNA (EGUI_LNC035559)". The record is from RNAcentral. Lineage: Eukaryota; Viridiplantae; Streptophyta; Magnoliopsida; Arecales; Arecaceae.
GGUGUAUGAAAAUCAGAUUUUCAUGUUCUUCUUGAACCUAAGAAGAAGGCUCUUAAAUAGAAUCCAUUCAUAAGUUCAAAUUCAAAUCCAAUCGGAGUUUAAAAAGAUGGAUAUUAUCAUAUAAUAACUUUUCUUUUUAUUCUGAUUUUCUUCUCAAGAUAAACCAGCCCAAAUGCAAUGUGAUCACCCUAAAGAAGGAAAGAAAAGUGAG